UUACAGAUGCAAGACCCCCAGCAUGAGCCAUCUCACGUGGAAAGGGAAACACUUGAAGAAUCAACAUGUGUGCCCUUUUCAAGAAAGUCAGCAUCACCAUACUGAAGGAACUGCCCAGCAAGAACUUUGUCAUACAAAAGAAUGACCUGCAGACACUAAAGACUAAAGGCAUCAGUGUUUUGCACUUUGUCUUCCACAAUAAAACAGUCUUUCUCAA
Molecule: long non-coding RNA, 217 nt
Organism: Toxotes jaculatrix (banded archerfish)
Lineage: Eukaryota; Metazoa; Chordata; Actinopteri; Toxotidae
Exons: 2
Source: RefSeq, a predicted model, not a curated record